AAGGAUCAUUAUUGAAUAAACUUGAUGUGGGUUGUCGCUGGCUCUCUAGGGAGCAUGUGCACGCUCCGUCAUCUUUAUAUUUCCACCUGUGCACCUUUUGUAGACCCAGAAGGCUUGAGCAAUCGAGUCGUUUGGGCCUAUGUUUAUCAUAUACCCCAUAGUAUGUAUUAGAAUGUAUCAGUGGGCUUUGUGCCUAUAAACACUAUACAACUUUCAGCAACGGAUCUCUUGGCUCUC
RNAcentral lists this unclassified non-coding RNA (237 nucleotides) under uncultured fungus. RNAcentral describes it as "partial contains 18S rRNA, ITS1, 5.8S rRNA, ITS2 and 28S rRNA". Lineage: Eukaryota; Fungi. The record is from RNAcentral.